RNAcentral lists this ribosomal RNA (400 nucleotides) under uncultured bacterium. Its description in RNAcentral is "bacterial SSU rRNA". It matches the Rfam family "Bacterial small subunit ribosomal RNA", at positions 356 to 773 of the family's 1533-position model. The record is from RNAcentral.
GGGGAAUCUUAGACAAUGGGGGCAACCCUGAUCUAGCCAUGCCGCGUGAGUGAUGAAGGCCUUAGGGUCGUAAAGCUCUUUCGCUGGGGAAGAUAAUGACGGUACCCAGUAAAGAAACCCCGGCUAACUCCGUGCCAGCAGCCGCGGUAAUACGGAGGGGGUUAGCGUUGUUCGGAAUUACUGGGCGUAAAGCGCGCGUAGGCGGAUCGGAAAGUUGGGGGUGAAAUCCCGGGGCUCAACCCCGGAAUUGCCUUCAAAACUCCCGGUCUUGAGGUCGAGAGAGGUGAGUGGAAUUCCGAGUGUAGAGGUGAAAUUCGUAGAUAUUCGGAGGAACACCAGUGGCGAAGGCGGCUCACUGGCUCGAUACUGACGCUGAGGUGCGAAAGCGUGGGGAGCAAAC